AUGCAAUCCAAGUUAUGGAAAGCUCCUGCAAUUGUUGGCAUUAAAAAAAGUCCAACCACUAAAAAGGAAGCAUCAACAUCUACAGCUAAUCUUGUGAAAAUACAAGAUAUAAUGGAAAUUAUCAAAAAGGAUAUCAUUUAUACUAUUUAAUGGCCAGCCAAAACAGGUACAUUGUGCUACUAGCCACCUAUGUUUAGUGAUGCAAUUGUUUUUAAUUUACUUCAGAAAUUAGCUACAUGACAAAGGGUUAUUAGAUACUCUAACAAAAUGAUUUGAGAAUGACAAUGAUCAAUGUGGAAGCUAUUUAGUUACUAGCUCAGAAUAUCUUUUUUUGUGGUUUCCUUUCUUUAUCUUAAAAUACUGCAAUUCGGUUGUAACUUUUCUAAAGCCAUAAAUAUUUGUUUCCUUGAUUUUCUAAAGCUAUUAGUCCCAUAUUUUAGGAUGUUACUACAAUUAUGAUAAAUUUGAGAGUUAGUGAAUAAUAGUGUUGGAAGUUCUCUUUUCUUAAGUCACUUGGGAAAAUUGAAGUUGUUAUCGUACUUGCAAUUCCUUAGGUGUUGUUUUAAAUGCACUAUAUGCACUAUAAAUUUGGUGAUUAAUGAAUAUUAUACUAGGAUGCAUACGGAUUUUUUUAUUAAUAGUCUGGCAUGUAACAGUGAUAUAUAGACAGAGGCAUAGCUUUGUUGGGGUGCCCCGACUCUCGCCGAUUUUUUUCUCAUAGGCGUGCGUCUCGGUUGCUCUUUUUAAAAUGAGAUGAAGUGCCUGAGGAAAAAAGUUGUCUUAAAUUGGAGAAUUGUGAAGAAAAAAUCAAUGUGGUUACACGAGCAUGAAAUGAGCUUAUUCUCUUCUAUGAUGAGGUUUGUUAUGCAU
Molecule: long non-coding RNA, 870 nt
Filed under: Helianthus annuus (common sunflower)
Lineage: Eukaryota; Viridiplantae; Streptophyta; Magnoliopsida; Asterales; Asteraceae
Source: RNAcentral